AGCGGCGGACGGGUGAGUAACGCGUGGGUAACCUGCCUCAUACAGGGGGAUAACAGUUGGAAACGGCUGCUAAUACCGCAUACGCGCACAGUACCGCAUGGUACCGUGUGAAAAACUCCGGUGGUAUGAGAUGGACCCGCGUCUGAUUAGCUAGUUGGUGGGGUAACGGCCUACCAAGGCGACGAUCAGUAGCCGACCUGAGAGGGUGACCGGCCACAUUGGGACUGAGACACGGCCCAA
Molecule: ribosomal RNA, 240 nt
Filed under: uncultured bacterium
Lineage: Bacteria
Description: partial 16S ribosomal RNA
Rfam family: Bacterial small subunit ribosomal RNA
Source: RNAcentral